RNAcentral lists this ribosomal RNA (253 nucleotides) under uncultured bacterium. Its description in RNAcentral is "partial 16S ribosomal RNA". It matches the Rfam family "Bacterial small subunit ribosomal RNA", at positions 524 to 776 of the family's 1533-position model. The record is from RNAcentral.
UACAGAGGUCCCAAGCGUUGUUCGGAUUCACUGGGCGUAAAGGGUGCGUAGGUGGUUGAGCAAGUCUAACGUGAAAUCUCCAAGCUCAACUUGGAAUGUGCGUCGGAUACUGUUUAGCUUGAGGAAUGAAGGGGAGACUGGAAUUCUCGGUGUAGCAGUGAAAUGCGUAGAUAUCGAGAGGAACACCAGUGGCGAAAGCGAGUCUCUGGACAUUUCCUGACACUGAGGCACGAAAGCCAGGGGAUCAAACGGG